Long non-coding RNA from Pollicipes pollicipes, 759 nucleotides. RefSeq lists it as uncharacterized. The transcript has 3 exons. Lineage: Eukaryota; Metazoa; Arthropoda; Thecostraca; Pollicipedomorpha; Pollicipedidae. The record is from RefSeq and is a predicted model, not a curated record.
CGCGGCGCGCCUCCAUCCUCUCAGCAAUCGCCACCGUCAAGCACCCAGCUCGUGACCGGUGUUUCCACAGCACAGAGACGCGCUUCAGACCUUCGAUGUCGACCAUUUUUACUAUUGUGCUACGAGGCAUGGACCGGUCAGAAGAAACGGUUCUUACUUUGAUCGACCUGAGUCGCUGUUUCGACGCACUGGACCACUCAAUGUUGCUGACGAGGCCGCGGAAGCUCCAAGUAUCUACAGACUGCAUCCAAAGUUACCCGAGGUUACACAUACAGCAUGUGAGGAUGGAUCCGACGCUGUCUGGCCCAAAAUAGUAUCACCAUUGGCACGUUCCCGGGGUCUUGCCUCAGGCCAUUCCAGUACAACAUCUUAAGCAACCACAUCGCGUGCUUCACAAACGGCUUCCGUGUCACGAUAAUUCGGUAUGCUGACGACGCACAGCUGGCCGUUACAGGCCCUCGAGGCAGAUCAGAGGAGAUGCGGCAGUCGCUGGAGUCACUGCUGGACGUAGCGUGCACGCGGUAUUUGCAGCAUGGGAUGCUGUUAAAGGCCGCCAAAACCGAGCUGUUGUUAUGUGGCGACCGCCGACAGCUUAGCCAAAUCUGAGAGCUUCCGUCCGUAGCGUUCACUGAUGGUGUGUUACAGGAAAAUUCAAAUAAGAUAAUUUUCAUGCAUGAAUUUAAGUUACCUAAAAGUAAGUUUGAUAUGCUCAUUGGGGAUACGUGGACGCGCAUUGUGUCAGUAUGAGCAUCAAUAUAU